AUUGAACGCUGGCGGCAUGCCUUACACAUGCCAGUCGAACGGCAGCGCGGGAGCAAUCCUGGCGGCGAGUGGCGAACGGGUGAGUAAUACAUCGGAACGUGCCCAAUCGUGGGGGAUAACGCAGCGAAAGCUGUGCUAAUACCGCAUACGAUCUACGGAUGAAAGCCGGGGAUCGCGAGACCUUGCGCGAAUGGAGCGGCCGAUGGCAGAUUAGGUAGUUGGUGAGGUAAAGGCUCACCAAGCCUUCGAUCUGUAGCUGGUCUGAGAGGACGACCAGCCACACUGGGACUGAGACACGGCCCAGACUCCUACGGGAGGCAGCAGUGGGGAAUUUUGGACAAUGGGCGAAAGCCUGAUCCAGCCAUGCCGCGUGCAGGAUGAAGGCCUUCGGGUUGUAAACUGCUUUUGUACGGAACGAAACGGUCUUUUCUAAUAAAGAAGGCUAAUGACGGUACCGUAAGAAUAAGCACCGGCUAACUACGUG
This 484-nucleotide ribosomal RNA is filed under the name uncultured bacterium. Its description in RNAcentral is "partial 16S ribosomal RNA". It matches the Rfam family "Bacterial small subunit ribosomal RNA", at positions 30 to 507 of the family's 1533-position model. The record is from RNAcentral.